UAGCACGGGAGCAAUCCUGGUGGCGAGUGGACGAACGGGUGAGUAAUAUAUCGGAACGUGCCCAGUAAUGGGGGAUAGCCCGGCGAAAGCCGGAUUAAUACCGCAUACGACCUACGGGUGAAAGCGGGGGAUCGCAAGACCUCGCGUUAUUGGAGCGGCCGAUAUCAGAUUAGCUUGUUGGCGGGGUAAAAGCCCACCAAGGCGACGAUCUGUAGCUGGUCUAAGAGGACGACCAGCCACACUGGGACUGAGACACGGCCCAGACUCCUACGGGAGGCAGCAGUGGGGAAUUUUGGACAAUGGGCGCAAGCCUGAUCCAGCCAUGCCGCGUGUGGGAAGAAGGCCUUCGGGUUGUAAACCACUUUUGUCAGGGAAAGAAACGGUCUUACUAAUAUUAGGAGCUAAUUGACGGUACCUGAAGGAAUAAGGCACCGGGCUUAACUUACGUGCCAGGCCAGGCCCGCGGGUAAUACGGUUAGGGGUGCCAAGGCCGUUAAUUCCGGGAAAUUUACUGGGGCGUUAAAAGGCGUUGCCGCCAGGCGGGUUUUGCCAAGGACCAGGAUUGUGGAAAUUCCCCCCGGGGGUUCAAAC
This 591-nucleotide ribosomal RNA is filed under the name uncultured bacterium. RNAcentral describes it as "bacterial SSU rRNA". The stretch from base 1 to 489 matches the Rfam family "Bacterial small subunit ribosomal RNA", at positions 69 to 538 of the family's 1533-position model. The record is from RNAcentral.